This 322-nucleotide ribosomal RNA is filed under the name uncultured eukaryote. RNAcentral describes it as "partial 18S ribosomal RNA". It matches the Rfam family "Eukaryotic small subunit ribosomal RNA", at positions 1470 to 1796 of the family's 1831-position model. The record is from RNAcentral.
CCCUUAGAUGUUCUGGGCCGCACGCGUGCUACACUGAGUGGAUCAGCGGGUCAGGUUGCGCGAAAGCGUUUCCUAAUCUUUAAAUCCGCUCGUGAUGGGGAUUGACGGUUGCAAUUUUCUGUCAUGAACGAGGAAUACCUUGUAAGCGCGGGUCAUCAUCCCGCGCUGAAUACGUCCCUGCCCUUUGUACACACCGCCCGUCGCUCCAACCGAUUGAGUGGUCCGGUGAGGCUUUGGGAUCUGAGCGGAAAGAGCGUUUCGCUGUUUCUGCUCGGAAAACUCAGUCGAACCUUAUCAUUUAGAGGAAGGAGAAGUCGUAACA